AACUUGACAUGAACAAAACAUAAAUUCUAUAAAAAUUCAACUUGACAUCACUUUUUAGAAACCCCAGAUUCACUGUGACCAAUAUGUCUUCUAAAAACAACACCAAAAUUUCCACUUCACGGACAAAACCCCACAAAAACUUAGGGGCAUUGUAAUUUAUUCCCUGUGACUUACAUGGAACGUGAGCGUUCAAUGUUCAUGAUGUAAACUUUGGCUCAAGUGAGACAAGUUCUGAGGGGUUAAGUGGAAAAACAAACAAAGUUUUGAGCGAUUAAUCCUAUGAAAAAAUGUCCCUGCUCGAAAUCAAACGAAAAUGGCGAAUCUCCUCUCUCACGCCCGUCGCCGUGCCUUCAGCAUCAAUCGAUCUCAAACGCUAGCUUUCCUGCGAUCCUUUUCUUCACCUUCCCCAUCUCAAACCUUAGCAUCGUCGUUCCGGCGGCCGUGGACUCUCGAGGACACAAGAUUCGUCAACGGCGUGCCCUCAUUCAAGGUUACUUCUCUGUUUGGGGCUUACAAAAAGUUCUGUACUUAUCAUGAAGCGCGAGAAAGUGAAGGCGUUAUCCCGUCGGAGUUGUUAACGAGUAAAAAUGCAACGGCACCUAAUCGAACUAUAGGAGAAUAUGCUGACCUAGUAAUGAGAGUGACCAACUUUCAAAAUGAGGACAAGGGUCUCAUUGUCUUGGCUGGUGAUGUUUUUGAUGUGCCCAUUAAGAAGGAUACAAUUCACCAAGUUGUGCGAUGGCAGCUUGCCAAACGACAGCAGGGGACUCAUUCAACUAAAACAAUAAGUGAAGUCAGCGGUACUGGGAAAAAGCCCUAUAAUCAGAAGGGCACUGGAAGAGCAAGGCAUGGGACAUUGCGUGGUCCACAGCUUUUAGUUUUUGAGGAUCUUGACUUCCGAACCACAAAACAAAGAACAUAGUAAACUAUGUUUCUCAGAUGGAGGAGACAAAGAAAGUUCUGUUGGUGGAUGGUGGUCCUAUAAGCGACAACCUGAAGCUUGCCACUGGAAACCUCCAUUACGUGAAUGUCCUUCCUUCAAUUGGUCUGAAUGUUUACAGCAUCCUUGAACAUGAUACACUUGUCAUGACUCGGGAUGUGCAGUAGAUCGGAUUGUCACAAGGAUGCAUACCCCUAUCAAACGAUGAUUGAGGUCACUGAACAUGAGAAAGGGAGUUUUAUGAUCAACCUGGUGUCAGAAGAAACUGAAAUCAUACGGGCUGAAGAGGGAAACCGAAGCACAAAUCGCCUCCACGUCGGUUUUCUUUCCCUCCCCCGUUUCCUUCCCCAACCGAGUGAAAUCGAAGAAAACUCUGGCCACGUCGGAUUUUUUUCUUCCUCGUUGAUUUCUUCAGCUAGAGUUACCUCCUUCGCAUUGCUCCCGCCAGAAAGUCCAGCGAAUUAAUUCAGCAAUCAAAGGACCGGAGCAAAGCCAUCAGGCAACAGCGGCGCAUUUUAGAGUCCAUCACCGGCGUCACCGACAUCAACGCUGUCAUCGAGCAGGCCGAGGAGGCUGACCGUGUUUACACUGUCGAUAACCCGACCCAAAUCUCCUUGUU
Molecule: RNA transcript, 1559 nt
Organism: Asparagus officinalis (garden asparagus)
Lineage: Eukaryota; Viridiplantae; Streptophyta; Magnoliopsida; Asparagales; Asparagaceae
Exons: 7
Source: RefSeq, a predicted model, not a curated record